RNAcentral lists this ribosomal RNA (425 nucleotides) under uncultured bacterium. RNAcentral's name for it is "bacterial SSU rRNA". It matches the Rfam family "Bacterial small subunit ribosomal RNA", at positions 359 to 776 of the family's 1533-position model. The record is from RNAcentral.
GAAUAUUGGACAAUGGGCGAAAGCCUGAUCCAGCAACGCCGCGUGGAGGAAGAAGGUCUUUGGAUCGUAAACUCCUGUCAGAUGGGGCGAAAGGGCGUCGGCGAAUAACCGGCGUCUUUGACGGUACCAUCAGAGGAAGCCCCGGCUAACUCCGUCCCAGCAGCCGCGGUAAUACGGAGGGGGCUAGCGUUAUUCGGAAUUAUUGGGCGUAAAGCGCGCGUAGGCGGCUUGGUAAGUCAUGGGUGAAAUCCCUCGGCUCAACCGAGGAAUUGCCUUUGAAACUACCUCGCUUGAGGCCGGGAGGGGGUAGCGGAAUUCCCAGUGCAGCGGUGAAAUGCGUAGAUAUUGGGAGGAACACCGGUGGCGAAGGCGGCUACCUGGACCGGUUCUGACGCUGAUGCGCGAAAGCGUGGGGAGCAAACAGG